This 457-nucleotide ribosomal RNA is filed under the name uncultured bacterium. Its description in RNAcentral is "partial 16S ribosomal RNA". It matches the Rfam family "Bacterial small subunit ribosomal RNA", at positions 338 to 795 of the family's 1533-position model. The record is from RNAcentral.
CCUACGGGUGGCAGCAGUGGGGAAUAUUGCACAAUGGGGGAAACCCUGAUGCAGCGACGCCGCGUGAGUGAAGAAGUAUUUCGGUAUGUAAAGCUCUAUCAGCAGGGAAGAAACCCACCCUCCGGGGUGGCUGACGGUACCUGACUAAGAAGCCACGGCUAACUACGUGCCAGCAGCCGCGGUAAUACGAAGGGGGCAAGCGUUAUCCGGAUUGACUGUGUGUAAAGGGAGCGUAGGUGGCAAGGCAAGUCAGAUGUGAAAACCCGGGGCCCAACCCCGGGAGUGCAUUUGAAACUGUCUGGCUAGAGUGCAGGUGUGGUAAGUGGAAUUCCUAGUGUAGCGGUGAAAUGCAUAGAUAUUAGGAGGAACACCAGUGGCUAAGGCGGCUUACUGGACUGUAACUGACACUGAGGCUCGAAAGCGUGGGGAGCAAACAGGAUUAGAUACCCGAGUAGUC